UCGGGAGUAAAGUUUUGUUUAAACCGAAAGAAUAUUGGCAGAUUUUCUAAAUUAUCUUUGGAGGUUGAGCGGUAAUUGAGAGCCCUCAUUGACUACUUUUUUAUUAAGCUCAUGUAUGAUCGUUUAUUUUUUUCUUAAGGGAAAAAAGUAGAAUUUGGUAAGUUUUAAAAAUAGAUAUAUAUUUGGUUUAUAAGUUAAGUUGAGUUUGACCUACAGUGUGUUAUUUUUUUGGAUUAUUAAUGUAGUGUUAUUAUGAAAUUGUAAAAGACAGUAAAGGAAUUUUGAUGGUUCUUUGAAGAGUAUUUAGAAGUGGUACAAACCAUCCGUC
RNAcentral lists this ribosomal RNA (328 nucleotides) under Crenosoma vulpis. RNAcentral's name for it is "partial 12S ribosomal RNA". Lineage: Eukaryota; Metazoa; Nematoda; Chromadorea; Rhabditida; Crenosomatidae. The record is from RNAcentral.